This 465-nucleotide ribosomal RNA is filed under the name Vreelandella stevensii. Its description in RNAcentral is "partial 16S ribosomal RNA". It matches the Rfam family "Bacterial small subunit ribosomal RNA", at positions 338 to 795 of the family's 1533-position model. Lineage: Bacteria; Pseudomonadati; Pseudomonadota; Gammaproteobacteria; Oceanospirillales; Halomonadaceae. The record is from RNAcentral.
CCUACGGGGGGCAGCAGUGGGGAAUAUUGGACAAUGGGGGGAACCCUGUUCCAGCCAUGCCGCGUGUGUGAAGAAGGCCCUCGGGUUGUAAAGCACUUUCAGUGAGGAAGAACGCCUGGUGGUUAAUACCCAUCAGGAAAGACAUCACUCACAGAAGAAGCACCGGCUAACUCCGUGCCAGCAGCCGCGGUAAUACGGAGGGUGCGAGCGUUAAUCGGAAUUACUGGGCGUAAAGCGCGCGUAGGUGGCUUGAUAAGCCGGUUGUGAAAGCCCCGGGCUCAACCUGGGAACGGCAUCCGGAACUGUCAAGCUAGAGUGCAGGAGAGGAAGGUAGAAUUCCCGGUGUAGCGGUGAAAUGCGUAGAGAUCGGGAGGAAUACCAGUGGCGAAGGCGGCCUUCUGGACUGACACUGACACUGAGGUGCGAAAGCGUGGGUAGCAAACAGGAUUAGAUACCCCUGUAGUC